CUUUAUAGUAUGUAACACUAGUAGAAAAAGAUAAAAACGCACCGACAAAUGCGCACCGGUUAUUAAAAACCGGUGCCAAAAAUAAAGCCUAGACCACAAAAAUAAAAACAGGUUUAAUAGGGCACCGGUUAACCGGUGCCUUUUUUUCCAAAAUUCCCUAAAAUUAGAACACGCUCUCUCUCCUCACUCUUUCCUCUUUAUCUCUAACUCUCUUGUUUUGUCUCCUCUGUUUCCUCUCUCCUCUCAAACUCUCCGUCUCCUCUCUUUUCUCGCUCCACCGCAGCCACCACCAGCGCAACCCUCAACUCUCUCCAUCCUAGCUUCCCACCGUAGUCACCACCAGCGCAACCCUCCUCUCUCUCCAUCCUAGUUUCUUGCCACCACCACCGCAGUCGUCUCUAAUGGCGUAAGCCCUUAAAAAACUAGGAGAACGAUGCCUAGAUCUCUAAUGGCGACACUGCUCCUCACAAGCUAUGAAUUUGAUGAAUCAUCAAUCGGAAUGUACAAACCCUAAUAUUAGAAAUGAUGAUGAUGACGAUUCAGAUGAAGUAAAAGUAAGAUGUUGAGAUCAAAGAGAAGCAGAACCGAGGGAACUUCGUUGUGUGAUUUGUGGUAGGUGUAUGGGUUGUACAUUUGUGAUGAGACAGAUGAUGAUGUUUGCAUCUUGGAAAGUGGUGUUGCUUGAGUGAAGUUGCAGGUGUUGAAUGCUUCUUUUGUUAUGAAUAUGUAGAGAUUAUACUGGUUCUUGUGCUUGAAAACUGCAGAGAAAUAAAGCUCUUUAGGAACAUGUGAAUCGGAUUAUAGUAUGUUGGUGUACUUGUUGAAUAUUUGAAAUUAUAUUAUAUAGCCAAUUAUGGUCCCAUACCCAUUCAUGUGCUUGCACAAUAGAACAUUUUAUGCCAUAUAGUUUGAUACUUUGAAUUUUUCUUGGAAGGCAUCACAUGAUGGAGACUCGUCUUUCAGUAAAUAGACCCAUAAACCUGAUUAUUUAAGGUUUAUAGCCUUUUUUUGCCACUACUAUUAAUCCACUUGUACAUAGAAAAAUACCAUGCCUCCCUAUGCCUUUAAUCUUAAUGAUGCCAUUUUCUACGUUAAAGGAUUCCUAGAAUAUACUUGAGGAACAUUCCUUUUUUACCCAGUUGCUUCCUUGUCUUUAGCAUUUAGACCUCAUAGUCAGAUUGUAUGUGUUUCUGCUUAAUUCAAUUGUGAAGGUGGAUCAUUCUUGUUUUGGCUAUUAUUUAAAUAAAAAUAUUUUCUUUUGUUUUUCACUAUUUGGUGUUAGAGAGGAGAAGCUAACAAUAUAAUUGCCUUUGUAUACCUUCUUUCCAACCAGAAGUGGAUUUCCUUGCAGGGAAUAUAUUGAUAAGGACACGACAUCAGGUCUUGCUACCUGAUCUAUAAUUUGUGUGCAUCUUAUUCUAUAAUGAAAUAUGAUGAUGAUUUUAACAACUAAUGUCUUUUCCCAUUUAAUAGGGGCCAGGUAGGUUGCAUCUCCAUGUUGAUCUAAGAAGUAAUCAUUAUGUCGUGCAGCAGGUUUGUUUUUAUCAACAGUUUGAUUGUAGGGAGUGGAUUAGAAAGGCAUUGGCUACCAUCUUUUUUUGGGCAGCCUAUGAAAUGCUACGAUCCAACAAGGUAGCGGAGGAUUGGAGACAAGCUAUAAUAAGGUGGUGGUGUGUACUGCUUUAGACCAGACAACAAUGAAGAGCAUUAUAUCCGCACAGCAAGGGCUGAGAACUGCCCAUGACUUGGUGUUCUGUUUCUGUGCUGUUCCUUCUGUAAUAUUACAGUUUUUUUUUUUGUUUGGACCAAAAUUGUAAUAUUAAUGGCUUUUAGCCUUUUAUUAAUGAAAAUA
Chenopodium quinoa (quinoa) is the source of this 1852-nucleotide RNA transcript. RefSeq lists it as uncharacterized. The transcript is spliced from 4 exons. The record is from RefSeq and is a predicted model, not a curated record. NCBI's taxonomy places the organism in Eukaryota, Viridiplantae, Streptophyta, Magnoliopsida, Caryophyllales, Amaranthaceae.